Molecule: long non-coding RNA, 761 nt
Filed under: Homo sapiens (human)
Lineage: Eukaryota; Metazoa; Chordata; Mammalia; Primates; Hominidae
Description: non-protein coding lnc-CSTF3-1:1
Source: RNAcentral
CGGUUCCCUGGGCCGGCACUACGCGGCCCGCGGCUCACACCAGCGGGAUUCGAACCGCGGCCUGCCGUAGAUUAACUCGGGACCAGGCCGGGCGCGGUGGCUCACGCCUGUAAUCCCAGCACUUUGGGAGGCCAGGGCAGGUAGAGCACCUGAGGUCAGGAGUUCGAGAGCAGCCUGGCCUACAUGGCGAAACCCCUUCUCUACUAAAAAUACAAAAAUUAGCUGGGCUUGGUGACAGGCGCCUGUAAUCCCAGCUACUCGGGAGGCCGAGGCACAAGAAUCGCUUGAACUCAGGAGGCGGAGGUUGCAGUGAGCCGAGAUCCACCACUGCACUCCAGCCUGGGCGACACAGCGAGACUCCGUCUCAAAAAAAAAAAAAAAAAAAAAAGAAAUAGAAAAAGUCGGGAACCUGGCAAGCUGCCUAACUGCUCUGUGCGUCGGUGUCCUCACCUGUGAUGCGGGGACAAAGCUGAAGAAGCCAGCAACCUGAAAACACCAAUGGGCACAGACAGAAGAACCUGCUCGCUCCAGCCAGAGACGUAUGAGGACUUGUAGGUAAGAGGAUUGUUUCUAGUCCUGGCUCUGCCAUUAACAAAUGGUAACUUGGUAGAUAACUGUUUCUCCAGCUCUCCGUGGUCAGCCAGCAUUAUGAUUGAAAGUUGGGAAAGGAAAGGAGUUGUGUUUUAAGCAAAUUUUAAGAGUUUACUUUUUUAUUGCUUAAUAUAGAAAUAACUGCAUAUUGUAGAACAUUUGAAAUGAAA